This 765-nucleotide long non-coding RNA is filed under the name Marmota monax (woodchuck). Lineage: Eukaryota; Metazoa; Chordata; Mammalia; Rodentia; Sciuridae. The record is from RNAcentral.
CUGGUUGUGCUGGAACAGAAGUAACAGAUGGUCACUGUCACUGUGCUCGCAUGGUCCAAUAUCUUAUAGCAGGCAUGCAAGCAGUUUCUAAUAAGGUAGUUAACUUUGAUAAAUUGAAGGACAUUACUUAGAAUCCUGAUGAAAAUCCAUCCUUAUUUCUCAACUGCCUUACAGAGGCCCUAACCAAAUACACUAAGCUAGACCUUGAGUCUCCCAUCAGGGCUACAGUGUUAGCAACCCAUUUCAUUACUCAAUUGGCCUAUGAUAUCAGAAAAAAAGAAAAAAAACUCAAAUGAGCUAAGGAGGACCCUUGGACCCCUAUCUGAGAUCUGGUAAAAAUGGCUUUUAAAGCAGGCUCCAUUGCAGAAGAAAAAGGUAACACCCCAAACCCAGGCCUUGGCAGCAGCCCUGAGGCCUACAUCUCCGGCAAAAGUUUCAGAGGGGAACCAGCAUUCCUCUCCACCAGAGGCUUGCCUCAAAUAUGGAUAGGAAGGUCACUGGGCUCGCCAAUGCCCAAACCCACGGCCUCCUUCCAGGCCAUGCCCCACCUGUAAGCAGACAGGACAUUGGAAGAUUGACUGCCCCAUGGCUGGCCCUUCCUCGGCACCUCUACGCAGGGGUAUGACCAGUCAGGCAGUCCCUUCUCCUGAACUUUUGGGGUUCGCAGAAGACUGAAGAAGCCCAGAUUCAAAGACCCCCUCAGCCCUCUCUGAGCCCAGGGUAGUGCUCCAGGCAGCGAGUAAGUCCAUUCCUUGUGGACACAGG